AACUGGGGCACUUCUGGGCACAGCUGGUGUUUUGGAGAGGAAAGGAAAACUCAGUGGGGAGAGCUGCUGACUCCAGCCAUGAGAGGAAAGGUCUACGGACAUUUCUCCUACAAAAAUAGAUCACCCGGCAGGAAAGGCCCCCUGGAUCUUUCUACUAGACCAGACUCCUGUUAAAUCUGUCCAGCACCCUGAGGGUUUCCUUCACGGCACUCACCACGAACAGUGUGUGGGUGAGCAUGCGAUUUUCUGUCUCCACUGAGCUGCAGGCCACGUGGAGAACCGCUGUGAGCUGCGCUUUAGUGGAAGAAAACCUAAGGGUCCCGCAUCAUUCUAUGUCGGUUGGAAUGAACUGGGCAUGAAGUCCAUGUCAGUUUUUCUGUUUUGCAAAAUCAAUGCAAUUUCUCACUUGCUGAGCCAACCGCAUGAUCCCAGCCAAAUCAGCCAUCAACUGUUAUCUUUUUUAAACUUCAAAUAAUGAAGUACUCUUGUUUUCCUGAAAUGUCUUGAAAAGGUUAUUUCUAGGCUGACACUCUGCUUGCCAGCUUUUAU
This 549-nucleotide long non-coding RNA is filed under the name Equus caballus (horse). Its description in RNAcentral is "lncRNA (ENSECAG00000055579.1)". The record is from RNAcentral. Lineage: Eukaryota; Metazoa; Chordata; Mammalia; Perissodactyla; Equidae.